Molecule: long non-coding RNA, 783 nt
Organism: Zea mays
Lineage: Eukaryota; Viridiplantae; Streptophyta; Magnoliopsida; Poales; Poaceae
Exons: 2
Source: RefSeq, a predicted model, not a curated record
GACGCACAACAGCUCUUACUUUUCCUCUUCUACAUAUGCGCAGCAAUCUAGCAAUCUCCAUGGAAAAUCUACGAGCUCUUCCUUCUAACUAAGCCUGCUCACCUGAUCUGGCGACACCACCAACAUGCCAGCGCCCACUGCCCCACCGCCGCUAGGAUUGGCCUACCACAUACCCUGAUUCUUCGCCUUCGUUUCCCGGCCCAGCCACUGGCCAUGCGUGUCGCUCCCACACGGCCACACCCGAGCGAGCGAGCGGCGGACGGGCCGAGGCCGACCGGGACAGAGGCCACAAGCCGCAUCCCCACUGGCCUCUGCAUGAUUUUGUCUACGACUCUACGUUGGUAUGCUUUGUAAUUUUUUAUCUCUGUGUUGGUAUGCUCUGUAAUUUUUUAUCUCUUUGUCUUCGUUCAGAGUUAUUUGAUUAUUAUUGAUUAUUGUAUUGUAUAGUGUACUGGUGUAUAAUUGGGCAUAGUUCUCUUUCAGUUGAACUAUACAUAAUUGCUAGGAUUUAAAAUUAUGUACUGAUGAAUUUAUGCGUGAUUAGAUGUAGCAGGAAGUUAGUUCCACACUCUAUGUUGCUAAAGAGUACAUGAAAGAAAAUCUACAACUAUAUAUGAUGAUGCCAUAUGGAUGUUGAAUGAUGGAUGCGAUGAAGCUAUUGGAGCUGCAUGGUACUCUGAUAUAUGAUUGAAAUUUUGAGUGUCUGGCAGCUCUAUGUGAUCCUAAAAAAGUUAAAAAACAGAAAAUAUUAAUUCCACAAUAAUAAUAAGAGAUUGAGAGGGA